This 429-nucleotide RNase P RNA is filed under the name Gallionellales bacterium 24-53-125. RNAcentral describes it as "RNase P RNA component class A". It matches the Rfam family "Bacterial RNase P class A". Rfam says of the family: Ribonuclease P (RNase P) is a ubiquitous endoribonuclease, found in archaea, bacteria and eukarya as well as chloroplasts and mitochondria. Its best characterised activity is the generation of mature 5'-ends of tRNAs by cleaving the 5'-leader elements of precursor-tRNAs. The record is from RNAcentral. RNAcentral also lists the same sequence under 3 other names. Lineage: Bacteria; Pseudomonadati; Pseudomonadota; Betaproteobacteria; Nitrosomonadales.
GAAGCUGGCUAGGCAGUCGCCGCUUUGCAGCAGCAAUGUUGUGAAGGGGAGGAAAGUCCGGGCUCCAUAGAGCAGGAUGCCGGUUAAUGGCCGGACGCCGUGAGGCGAUGGAAAGUGCCACAGAAAAUACACCGCCGAUGGCCGGACUUUGCCACCCGCAAGGGUGGCAAAGUCACCCAGAAAGAGCUGGUGCGAAAGCCCCGGCGAGUUUUGGGCAAGGAUCAGGUAAGGUUGAAAUGGCGAGGUAAGAGCUCACCGCGCUGGCGGCAACACCAGUGGCAGGGUAAACCCCAUCCGGAGCAAGACCAAAUAUGCUGGCUAUGACGUUGCUCGCGUCGUCAGCGGGUAGGUUGCUUGAGCGUCAGGUAACGAAACGCCUAGAGGAAUGACUGUCCACGACAGAACCCGGCUUAUCGGCCAGCUUCACCU